UGCAGAAUGAGAGUAAAACUGGUGAAACUGGUUCAAUCUGGUGAACAUGUCUGCUGACAUGAUAAUCACACUCUUCAUGUCUCUUGAUUUCCACAGACAUUGUUUCCUGGACCAGGAGUGACUUCCUACAAUAUUCCCAUCGGUUCACUCCGGAUCUGAACACAGUGAAUAAAGACCUCCUUCUGUCUGAGGGGAACACAGUGGUUACUAACACUUGGCCAGAGACUCAGUCGUAUCCUGAUCAUCCAGACAGAUUUGAUCUUUCUCAGGUGUUGUGUAGAGAGAGUGUGAGUGAUCAACGCUCUUACUGGGAGAUUGAGUGGAGUGGACGUGGUGUGUCUGUAUCAGUGUCAUAUAAGAGCAUCUGCAGGAUGAGAUGGGAUAAAGAGUGUGUGUUUGGACGUAAUGAUCAGUCCUGGAGUUUGAUCUGCUCUUACUCCAGUUGCUCAUUCAGACACAAAAACAUAGAGAGAGUUCUCCCUGUAAAGCCCAUCAUCAGGAGAAUAGGAGUGUAUGUGGAUCACAGUGCAGGAACCCUGUCCUUCUACAGCAUCUCUGGAGACACAAUGAGCCUCAUCCACACAGUCCAGACCACAUUCACUCAACCGCUCUAUCCUGGGUUUAGGGUUUAUUAUGGAUCUUCAGUGAAACUGAUUUGAUGAAUCAGAACAGAGAGAUUCUACCCAUAAUGCUUUGAGCUGAUAAUGAAUCAGAUGUUAUAGAGUCUCUUCAUUACAUUAAUACUGUGACCUGAAAUGUCAUGUCAGAAUAAAAGUGUGCAACACAGA
Molecule: long non-coding RNA, 788 nt
Organism: Megalobrama amblycephala (Wuchang bream)
Lineage: Eukaryota; Metazoa; Chordata; Actinopteri; Cypriniformes; Xenocyprididae
Exons: 2
Source: RefSeq, a predicted model, not a curated record